RNAcentral lists this ribosomal RNA (451 nucleotides) under uncultured bacterium. RNAcentral's name for it is "partial 16S ribosomal RNA". It matches the Rfam family "Bacterial small subunit ribosomal RNA", at positions 30 to 507 of the family's 1533-position model. The record is from RNAcentral.
AGCGAACGCUGGCGGCAUGCCUAACACAUGCAAGUCGCACGGGGGGGCUUCGGCCUCCUACUGGCGGACGGGUCAGGUACCCGUAGGGUCAUGUCGAGGGGGGGGGGAUAACCGCGGGGGACUGCGGCUAAUACCGCAUGACGCUGCGGCGUGACAGCACCGACCAAAGGGGACAGGCGCCCGCCGAGGGGUCUGCGUCCGAUUAGCUGGUUGGCGGGGUAGCUGCCCAGCAAGGCGGCGAUCGGUAGCUGGUCUGAGAGGGUGGUCAGCCACACCGGGGGUGGGACACGGCGGGGACUCCCGCGGAAGGCAGCAGUGGGGAAUAUUGGACAAUGGGCGGAAGCAUGAUCCAGCAAGGCCGCGUGAGUGAAGAAGGUCUGCGGAAUGUAAAGCCCGUUCGGCGGGGACGAUGGUGACGGUACCCGCAGAAGAAGCCCCGGCUAACUUCGUG